RNAcentral lists this non-coding RNA (30 nucleotides) under Cricetulus griseus (Chinese hamster). Lineage: Eukaryota; Metazoa; Chordata; Mammalia; Rodentia; Cricetidae. The record is from RNAcentral.
AUCACAGUGGGACUGCAAGUAGAGCAGCGG